UACAGAGGUCUCGAGCGUUAGGCGGAAUCACUGGGCUUAAAGCGUGUGUAGGCGGAUUGCUAAGUACCUUGUGAAAUCCCACGGCUUAACCGUGGAACUGCUUGGUAUACUGGCUGUCUUGAGCCACUUAGGGGCAACCGGAACAAACGGUGGAGCGGUGAAAUGCGUAGAUAUCGUUUGGAACGCCAAUGGUGAAAACAGCUCGCUGGGAGUGUGCUGACGCUGAGACACGAAAGCCAGGGGAGCGAACGGG
Molecule: ribosomal RNA, 253 nt
Filed under: uncultured bacterium
Lineage: Bacteria
Description: partial 16S ribosomal RNA
Rfam family: Bacterial small subunit ribosomal RNA
Source: RNAcentral